Silurus meridionalis is the source of this 577-nucleotide non-coding RNA. The record is from the annotation of a RefSeq genome assembly. Lineage: Eukaryota; Metazoa; Chordata; Actinopteri; Siluriformes; Siluridae.
UGUUAUAUUCAUGUGUCUGUGGCUUUCACUAGGUGACUCCAUGGCAGAUUCAAUUAAACCACUUUUCACUCAUAAAGCUGUAGAUGAAGGUGAUGAUGUUACUCUGUCCUGCAACUAUGAAACAAGUGAUACAGGCCCCGUCCUGCACUGGUACAGACAACAACCAAAAUCUAAACCUGUGUUCCUUCUUUACAUUGAUCUGUUUGGAGGAAAAACUAAGCCCAUGCCACCACGUCUGGAUGCUGAAGUUGAUAAAACUAAUAAAGAAGUGGAUCUGAUCAUCUCCUCUGCUGCUGUAUCAGACUCUGAUCUAUACUAUGGUAGUUCCUCACUGCUCCGAUGGGGCUGCUUGGCGGCAGCCUCGCCCUGGUACGUCCAGGCACAGCGAGAUAGCCCAGUGAGAGAGUGUUGCCACCCGACUCCGCGGGGAGGUCCUAGGGGCCCCUGGAGACUCUCUAGGCACGAGGAGGGGCUGGACGGCCUGAGGGUGAACGGGCUGUGUUCGUUGCAGAUGAGAGUCGUCCGCCGCCUCUCAGGGGCUUCAAAGGCCGCAGUGACUCCAUGGCAGAUUCCAUAG